AAUAAGUUCAUUUUUCAGUUUUUUGAAUACAAUGUUUGACUCUUCGUCUUAUUUGAAUUUUUUUUCAAUUAAUAUUCUUACUGUCACUGGAUGAUAAAACAUGAAUAGUAUUUUACGCGUGACUAUUUUUUUAAGUUUUUCUAUAAAUUUUUUAAAUAAAAUGAAUAGUCAAACGUUGGACAUAGAAAUCGGAAAAUAAACUUAUU
RNAcentral lists this microRNA precursor (206 nucleotides) under Oryza brachyantha (malo sina). RNAcentral describes it as "MIR812 microRNA precursor family". It matches the Rfam family "MIR812 microRNA precursor family". The record is from Rfam by way of RNAcentral. Lineage: Eukaryota; Viridiplantae; Streptophyta; Magnoliopsida; Poales; Poaceae.